GGCACGAUGACCGAGUGGCCUAAGGUGUUUGACUCGAACUUACCAUUCGAGGUUUAUCAAAUCUCUUCGGAGGCGCAAGUUCGAAUCUUGUUCGUGUCG
This is a non-coding RNA of Neurospora sp. IMI 360204, 99 nucleotides long. The record is from the annotation of a GenBank genome assembly. Lineage: Eukaryota; Fungi; Ascomycota; Sordariomycetes; Sordariales; Sordariaceae.